AAAGCUUUAGCGAUGUUAACUGAAAAGUUUUCAUUGGCUUGUCUUUCUGCCCUUGUCAUAAAUUGUGUGUUAUUUUCCAGACGACCAGAACCAAUGGUAUAUACAUUGUUAUGAGAGGGUUCAUUGGAUGAGCACAUAUAAUUUUAGGCAGAAAUAGAUCCACGAUGGCCAACCUCAGGCUGGAACCAUGGAAACAAGUACCAGACUAGUUCAAGAAGCUGGAAGCCUCAGAACAAGGAAAAGAGGCCAACAGUAUAGUGGCAGUCUGAGGCUGCAGGCCUGGAAUUCUCCUAGAGAGGACACCCUCACAGAGGACUUCCACUGUGGAAUGUGCCUGAGUGUGUCUACACAUUAGCACUAAAGAGGCAAGCCCUACACACCAAGCAGGCUUGGAGACUUUCAGAGGACUUGGUAGAGACAAGGAUGCCAAGUUGUCCCAGGAAGUUUUCCGCAGAGAAGUCGUUCUGGGCCUAGGAACAAGGUGAGAGAGAACGAAUGAAGGAGAGAACAGCUCAGGCGUGACUGACAGCAGGUGGAAGUGAGCUGGAGCAAGCUUCUGCCCAGACCUGAGCCGCUCGGAAAAAGGCAGCUUGCCUCCACCCUCCCUCCUCCACCCGGCCAUCUGUGCGGUGCCUGUUCACCCUGUCCCCUCUCGGCCAUCGGGGGGCUCUGAGCCUGCGGCCUCCUCCCUGCCCAGCGGCCACAGGUCCCCAGCCCCGCCUCCCCCCCUC
Long non-coding RNA from Peromyscus eremicus (cactus mouse), 731 nucleotides. RefSeq lists it as uncharacterized. The transcript has 3 exons. The record is from RefSeq and is a predicted model, not a curated record. NCBI's taxonomy places the organism in Eukaryota, Metazoa, Chordata, Mammalia, Rodentia, Cricetidae.